Molecule: long non-coding RNA, 282 nt
Filed under: Penaeus japonicus
Lineage: Eukaryota; Metazoa; Arthropoda; Malacostraca; Decapoda; Penaeidae
Description: uncharacterized LOC122267477
Source: RNAcentral
GGGAGGGACAGAGGAGCUAGGGAGGGACGAAGGGAGCUAGGGACGGAGGGAGGGAGGGAGGGACUCCGCCACCACCAGGAGCGGCCGCUACCACGACCAAACAGAGCUGCAGCGAGUCAGUCAGUACACGCGGUGCUAGAGAGAGGCAAGGUCUGCCUCCCAUCCACCGCGACCACCACAACACAAGAUCGUGGUGGUGAAAAGAAAAAAAAAAACAGUAUGACAAAAUUGUAAAGACGAACGAACAGUUAUUUUGGGAAAGAUAAUUAGCAGAAGGAAAAA